UGCCGGUGCAACAGAAGUAAAAGGAGAAAGAUGUCAUUCGAGCACAGCCAUGGUCACACACGCCUGAGAACAGCUCUAAUCAGUUCAGCACUAUGUGGGGGCUGAGGGUCUUGCUGUCUGUGGCCUGCUGCCUGUUACACACAAGCUUCCUCCUCUCAUGCAACGGUUGUCAAAGUGAGGUUCAGGGACCCCGAGGCACCCUCCAGUGAAACAAGCCACGCUCAUCAUCAUCAACCCCCCCUUCAGAGUUUGCUGACGUGAUCAGGUGCACUCUUUCUUCAUGUCGAAAAAAAAAAAACCAAACAAGAAUGACUCACAAGCUGAGAUCAGAAACAUGAAGCAGGGUGACAGAUGCUGUGAUGGCGUAGCCUACCGUGCCGUGUCCUGUUUCACUGCUUACCGUGUGAGUGAUGGGAUGUGAUGCGAUACUGAGAUAAGGUGUUCAUCAGAUCUCUGGCUGACUAUGGCCGUA
Molecule: long non-coding RNA, 472 nt
Organism: Perca fluviatilis (European perch)
Lineage: Eukaryota; Metazoa; Chordata; Actinopteri; Perciformes; Percidae
Exons: 4
Source: RefSeq, a predicted model, not a curated record